GGGUUGUGAGGUUAAGCGACUAAGCGUACACGGUGGAUGCCCUGGCAGUCAGAGGCGAUGAAGGGCGUACUAAUCUGCGAUAAGCGCCGGUAAGGUGAUAUGAACCGUUAUAACCGGCGAUACCCGAAUGGGGAAACCCAGUGUGAUUCGUCACACUAUCAUUAACUGAAUCCAUAGGUUAAUGAGGCGAACCGGGGGAACUGAAACAUCUAAGUACCCCGAGGAAAAGAAAUCAACCGAGAUUCCCCCAGUAGCGGCGAGCGAACGGGGAGGAGCCCAGAGCCUGAAUCAGCAUGUGUGUUAGUGGAAGCGUCUGGAAAGGCGCGCGAUACAGGGUGACAGCCCCGUACACAAAAGCGCAUGUGCUGUGAGCUCGAUGAGUAGGGCGGGACACGUGGUAUCCUGUCUGAAUAUGGGGGGACCAUCCUCCAAGGCUAAAUACUCCUGACUGACCGAUAGUGAACCAGUACCGUGAGGGAAAGGCGAAAAGAACCCCGGCGAGGGGAGUGAAAAAGAACCUGAAACCGUGUACGUACAAGCAGUGGGAGCACCCUUUGGGUGUGACUGCGUACCUUUUGUAUAAUGGGUCAGCGACUUAUAUUCUGUAGCAAGGUUAACCGAAUAGGGGAGCCGGAGGGAAACCGAGUCUUAACCGGGCGUUAAGUUGCAGGGUAUAGACCCGAAACCCGGUGAUCUAGCCAUGGGCAGGUUGAAGGUUGGGUAACACUAACUGGAGGACCGAACCGACUAAUGUUGAAAAAUUAGCGGAUGACCUGUGGCUGGGGGUGAAAGGCCAAUCAAACCGGGAGAUAGCUGGUUCUCCCCGAAAGCUAUUUAGGUAGCGCCUCGUGAAUUCAUCUCCGGGGGUAGAGCACUGUUUCGGCUAGGGGGCCAUCCCGGCUUACCAACCCGAUGCAAACUGCGAAUACCGGAGAAUGUUAUCACGGGAGACACACGGCGGGUGCUAACGUCCGUCGUGAAGAGGGAAACAACCCAGACCGCCAGCUAAGGUCCCAAAGUCAUGGUUAAGUGGGAAACGAUGUGGGAAGGCCCAGACAGCCAGGAUGUUGGCUUAGAAGCAGCCAUCAUUUAAAGAAAGCGUAAUAGCUCACUGGUCGAGUCGGCCUGCGCGGAAGAUGUAACGGGGCUAAACCAUGCACCGAAGC
RNAcentral lists this ribosomal RNA (1166 nucleotides) under Salmonella enterica subsp. enterica serovar Enteritidis. RNAcentral describes it as "partial 23S ribosomal RNA". It matches the Rfam family "Bacterial large subunit ribosomal RNA", at positions 1 to 1200 of the family's 2925-position model. Lineage: Bacteria; Pseudomonadati; Pseudomonadota; Gammaproteobacteria; Enterobacterales; Enterobacteriaceae. The record is from RNAcentral.